This 204-nucleotide long non-coding RNA is filed under the name Medicago truncatula (barrel medic). RNAcentral describes it as "long non-coding RNA (MTRU_LNC006161)". Lineage: Eukaryota; Viridiplantae; Streptophyta; Magnoliopsida; Fabales; Fabaceae. The record is from RNAcentral.
AUUCUUCCCAUGCUUUCUCGUUGUUUUGGACCAAUCUUUGAACGAUUCCAUUUCGGUAUUGCCACCGUCCCAUUCAGCAAGAAACUUCAUGCAAAAGACUCCACAACUGUCUUUAUCACAUUGAUUAGGCAUCUUUGGUGUUUCCCACUUGAAUGUGCUAAACUGGAAAGGCAUUGUGAUUUUUCUUUUCAUAUACAAUUCAGU